This 250-nucleotide ribosomal RNA is filed under the name uncultured Lactobacillus sp. RNAcentral describes it as "partial 16S ribosomal RNA". It matches the Rfam family "Bacterial small subunit ribosomal RNA", at positions 295 to 537 of the family's 1533-position model. Lineage: Bacteria; Bacillati; Bacillota; Bacilli; Lactobacillales; Lactobacillaceae. The record is from RNAcentral.
AGAGUCGGGCUCUGGAGAACGGGACUGAGACACGGCCCAAACUCCUACGGGAGGCAGCAGUAGGGAAUCUUCCACAAUGGACGCAAGUCUGAUGGAGCAACGCCGCGUGAGUGAAGAAGGUCUUCGGAUCGUAAAGCUCUGUUGUUGGUGAAGAAGGAUAGAGGCAGUAACUGGUCUUUAUUUGACGGUAAUCAACCAGAAAGUCACGGCUAACUACGUGCCAGCAGCCGCGGUAAUACGUAGGUGGCAA